Molecule: transfer RNA, 85 nt
Filed under: bacterium
Lineage: Bacteria
Description: tRNA-Leu
Rfam family: tRNA
About the family: Transfer RNA (tRNA) molecules are approximately 80 nucleotides in length. Their secondary structure includes four short double-helical elements and three loops (D, anti-codon, and T loops).
Source: RNAcentral
GCCCGGGUGGUGAAAUUGGUAUACACGGAUGACUUAAGAUCAUCUGCCGUAAGGCGUGCGAGUUCAAGUCUCGCCCCGGGCACCA